UCGGAAAUGCCCGAAGUCGGUGACCCAACCGUUUACGGAGGGAGCUGCCGAAGGCAGGUCUGGUGACUGGGGUGAAGUCGUAACAAGGUACC
This 92-nucleotide ribosomal RNA is filed under the name uncultured bacterium. Its description in RNAcentral is "partial 16S ribosomal RNA". It matches the Rfam family "Bacterial small subunit ribosomal RNA", at positions 1411 to 1500 of the family's 1533-position model. The record is from RNAcentral.